This 75-nucleotide transfer RNA is filed under the name Candidatus Nealsonbacteria bacterium CG10_big_fil_rev_8_21_14_0_10_36_23. RNAcentral's name for it is "tRNA-Glu". It matches the Rfam family "tRNA". Rfam says of the family: Transfer RNA (tRNA) molecules are approximately 80 nucleotides in length. Their secondary structure includes four short double-helical elements and three loops (D, anti-codon, and T loops). Further hydrogen bonds mediate the characteristic L-shaped molecular structure. tRNAs have two regions of fundamental functional importance: the anti-codon, which is responsible for specific mRNA codon recognition, and the 3' end, to which the tRNAs corresponding amino acid is attached (by aminoacyl-tRNA synthetases). tRNAs cope with the degeneracy of the genetic code in two manners: having more than one tRNA (with a specific anti-codon) for a particular amino acid; and 'wobble' base-pairing, i.e. permitting non-standard base-pairing at the 3rd anti-codon position. Lineage: Bacteria; Candidatus Nealsoniibacteriota. The record is from RNAcentral. RNAcentral also lists the same sequence under 1 other name.
GCCGCCAUCGUCUAACGGUGAGGACCUGAAGCUUUCAAUUUCAAAAUCGGGGUUCGACUCCCCGUGGCGGCACCA